This 295-nucleotide transfer-messenger RNA is filed under the name Streptomyces phage Beuffert. RNAcentral describes it as "127". It matches the Rfam family "transfer-messenger RNA". From Rfam's summary of the family: Bacterial tmRNA, also known as 10Sa RNA or SsrA, is named for its dual tRNA and mRNA-like properties. The record is from RNAcentral. Lineage: Duplodnaviria; Heunggongvirae; Uroviricota; Caudoviricetes; Stanwilliamsviridae.
GGGGUAGCUUGGUUUCGACUUUGCUAAUCAGGUUUAUAGACGCAGCCGUUCUUUGGUAAGAGAACUGAAACAGACCAAACACAUAAAUGCAAACUCUAAGAAUGCAUCUGCCUACGCCCUAGCGGCGUGAUGGCCGGGUUAGUGGGGGACCUAGGAACAGAAUGCCCCACCCCAAAUAGCUCUUCGGAGCGCUUGUGAAGAUAGUGUGUAACACCAGUUAGUAUGAUUGACAUGGCUGUACAUCGGAUAUAUGCUAGAUAGUGAAGGACGCGGGUUCGACUCCCGCCUACUCCAC